Molecule: long non-coding RNA, 1331 nt
Filed under: Carica papaya (papaya)
Lineage: Eukaryota; Viridiplantae; Streptophyta; Magnoliopsida; Brassicales; Caricaceae
Description: long non-coding RNA (CPAP_LNC002219)
Source: RNAcentral
ACAAAUACAUCAAUAGAGUUCACCAAAUCUCAACUAGGAAAAGAAAGCAAGUUAGCCACUCAUGGUGAACUUCAAUAUAAAAAAGCUUCUUAAAAAUUAAAAAGAUGAGGAAGAUGAAAAGAGGGUGCGACAUCUGCAACUAUCGCUGUGUGCUGCCUCCGGAAGAAAGAAGAUGAUGAACCUACUCCGCAGCUGCGAUUUUAUAACCCAAGGAGAUUAGGAUGUUUUUUCUUUUGUUGAUUAUGAACAUUUUUCUUGAUUUUUGGCUUAUCCCCAAAUCUUGGCUGGAAGGAGAUCUUUUUCAAAUUUAAAAAACGUGCAUUUUCAUUUAAGUCAGCUGCCGUGCGCGAUGCUUAGACUUGCCCAAGGCUAAGUUGUCCGAGGUGGGACCUGCUGCUGACUGCUGAAUCCAAGCCUUGCCUAAAGAUUGUUUUUAGGCUGAUGAUUUUUUUCACAAACUCUUCCUAUUUUUGUGUUGUUUUUUUCUUAUUUCAUCAUUAUCUGCUAUCAUGCUACAAAAUAUAAAAAAUAGUUCAAAUUAGAUAACAUACUAUCAGGUUUAACAAUUCAAAAGUUGGUAAUAAUGAUGUCGUUUUUAGGCACUAUGAACUUUAUUUUACGAAUAUGACUCGAAGUAAGAUUACAUAUUCCUACUUUAAUUUUAAAACUUAAUUCGACUCAGAUACUUAAUUGAAAAUAAUAAAACAAUUAAAAUUUUAAUCUAAACUCAAAAUAAAUUAAUAAAAUAUUACCAACUUAUUUGAAGUAGACUUCUCUUCUUCUUCCCAAUUUCAUCAUGUGGCUUUUAUCUCUUUUAGACUUCAAUUUUGUGUAAGAGUUCUCUUUGUUGCUGCAUAGGAAUAAUGUAGAAAUUAGGAAAAGAUAAGAGGAGUCCAAGCCGGACUCAGCUUGCUAUACACGCUGUCCAGGUGCACAUGGAAGCUUCCCCAAGCGCGUGUGGCCUAGGUGUAUGUGCGGCAGGAACAACCCUCACAGGUGCAUCCCAUUGAGCAACCUAGGUGUGUGGGCGCUCAUGUGCACGCGCGACAACAUCUACCUGCACAAGUGCACCUCCUGUGCCCGGUUCCCCUGUGCAGACUGCCCGUAGGCAUGCGAGACUUCCCCUGCGCAUAGUGGCCGCAUGUUUGUUCUGUCUUCUCCCGCACAACCUGUUGACUUUAGCGUGCGGCAUGGUCUUCUUGGCACGCACAAUAUAAUUCCAUGUGUACAGCCUCGACUGGGAUGUGGGCUUCUCACCCCGCACAUAUGGACCUUUGCGUGCACACCCAAUGGGCUUUCAAAUCCAUGUCUUGGCAGGGGUUUCUUCUCAU